AUACGGAGGGUGCAAGCGUUACUCGGAAUCACUGGGCGUAAAGCGCGCGCAGGCGGCUAUUUAAGUUGGAUGUGAAAGCCUACGGCUCAACCGUAGAACUGCAUCCAAAACUAUUUAGCUAGAGUGUGGGAGAGGAAGAUGGAAUUAGUUGUGUAGGGGUAAAAUCCGUAGAGAUAACUAGGAAUACCAAAAGCGAAGGCAAUCUUCUGGAACACUACUGACGCUGAGGCGCGAAAGCGUGGGGAGCAAACGGGAGUAGAAACCCCGGUAGUCC
RNAcentral lists this ribosomal RNA (274 nucleotides) under uncultured bacterium. Its description in RNAcentral is "partial 16S ribosomal RNA". It matches the Rfam family "Bacterial small subunit ribosomal RNA", at positions 523 to 796 of the family's 1533-position model. The record is from RNAcentral.